UUCUGGGAAGUUUAGCUUUUAGAAUAUUUUACAUUUUGGAAUCUGCCCCAAGUCAUAAAAUCUGUCAAAAGUUCCGGGUCCUUUUCCUACAUUAAAUUAUGGAAUAGAAUUUUCUUUCCUUCUAUUUUCAUCCCCUUCCAUCUAGGGGUGGGCAUAAAAACCAUCAAACCGCAAAACCGAAUCGAACCGUAUGAAAAAAAACCGUGUUGACCGGAAAAGUCAACUUUGAGUCAAAAACCGAACCGGACCGUUUCAAACCGGUUUGGUUCCGGUUUCAAAUGAACUGGAACCAGCCGGAACCGAACCGAACCGUUUUAUUAAUAAUAAAUUAACUAAUUAUAUAUAUGCACACAUGUCAUGAUAUAAUAGGUUAGUUUGAAAAAUUAGUUUCACCAAAUUGCAAAGCAGUGAAUCCCACCCUCAUCCUCACUCACGGCCUCAUCAGUCAUCGCCCAUUUCACACUUUUAGACUUCCAUUCCUGUAGGCUUCUUCACUCUGCCGAGUCGCCGCCCACCUCACUCGCGGCUCUCUGCGACGACCCUUGUCAUCCCUCCUCCACGACAGCUUCGUCCUCCGUCCUCCAUCCUUGGUAUUUUCUCUCUCUUUUCUCAUAUUCUCUCUCUACACCCCUUCGUCAAGUCUCUAAAGCAUUCACUUCUUUGCAUGCUGCGGAGGACAUCUUGCUUCACUCACCUUCCCCACUUCAGUCCCCACCGCAUCGCAUCCGAAUUAUCAGGUGCUCCCAUGGCUUCCACGCAGAGUGAUAUCUUAGCUUCUCGCGAAAGGAUCUUCAAGAACGCUUUUCGUGAAAUUUUGGAGCGGAGGGCAUCUGCACACUCUUGUCUUCUACUGUUUGAUUAAUUAUCUUCUACAGUUCCAGGUUAGUUGAACUUAAUUGUACUUGAUUAAUUAUCUUGUCUCAUAUUUAGCAUAUUUAGUAGUCUGGAGAUGUAUUUGAAUGCAU
Long non-coding RNA from Malus domestica (apple), 965 nucleotides. RefSeq lists it as uncharacterized. The record is from RefSeq and is a predicted model, not a curated record. Lineage: Eukaryota; Viridiplantae; Streptophyta; Magnoliopsida; Rosales; Rosaceae.